Molecule: transfer RNA, 72 nt
Filed under: Paracoccaceae bacterium
Lineage: Bacteria; Pseudomonadati; Pseudomonadota; Alphaproteobacteria; Rhodobacterales; Paracoccaceae
Description: Rhodobacteraceae bacterium tRNA-Gly
Rfam family: tRNA
About the family: Transfer RNA (tRNA) molecules are approximately 80 nucleotides in length. Their secondary structure includes four short double-helical elements and three loops (D, anti-codon, and T loops).
Source: RNAcentral
GCGUAUAUAAGUUAACUGGUAAACUUUCUGCCUUCCAAGCAGAUUAUAAGGGUUCGAGUCCCUUUAUACGUA